Molecule: long non-coding RNA, 978 nt
Organism: Homo sapiens (human)
Lineage: Eukaryota; Metazoa; Chordata; Mammalia; Primates; Hominidae
Exons: 7
Source: RefSeq, a predicted model, not a curated record
UAAAUGUUUUUCCAAAUCUCAUAUCCCAAACAAAACCUGUCAAGAAAUUAGGAAAACUAUAAAACUACUAUAAUUCUGCUACUACAAUUAAAAGAAGUAGAAAGUGGUUUGACAAAACCCAUUGAUGUCACAUUGAAAGCAAGAGCUGGGUGCACUAACACUCAGAGUUGGAGAAUAAGGCUGGACAUUUCUGGGAAGAGAUGUUGAUGAUCUAAUCACUCAGGUGUGCUCAUAGUUGUUGCUGUGUCAUAAGUGUGUUUUCAUGGUCCUGUCUGCUGCUAAUGCUCUUCAGUAUUCCACCAGGAUUCUGGACAAAGAACGGUUAAUCUGUGCCCGUUUGCAGACAGUCACCUGGGUUACUUUUCUCCGUUUCCUCUCUACUAACAGUAGCCUGGACAGUGAGUUCUGCAGUAAUGAGAUUUUCCUAGACAACCUGACUUGCUGGGUCUCUUCUUUAAAAAGAUGACAUCUAGAUUUAGAAAUGAGGGCAGCAUGUCAUUUCCUUGAAAAAGAAUAAGGAUCUGUACAGAGGUGCAACUGGGUGAUAACGCACAUAUUUCAAGAUAUAAUAUGUGUGUGUGAAUAUGCUUGACUAUUAGAACCAUAGUAUAAAAUAGUGAGAGGAAAUUAUAAAGAGAAUUUCUUUGGACUUGGUGUCAAGAGGUUCAUGUCCUGGCUCUAUAACUUAUAUCAUCCAUGUGACGUCAACACAUCUCAGUGCCAUGCAGGUGUGAAAUAACAAAGAAGCCAAACACUGGUGAAAGAAGUGAAAUUAAAAGAUUGAUUCAUCCAAAAAAGGCUCUGUGUUUUCAAGGUGGUGGUGCAUUCCAGUUUGAGGGCCCAAGCACUGAUCUACCAAUGAUCUUCACACCCUUAUCAUCACUAUACCAGCAUGAGAAGAAAAUUCGGGAUGGUCCAAAUGACAGACUCCAAAAUGAUUCUGGAUAUUAUGGGCUAAAUCUGUAACAAUAACACACA